Long non-coding RNA from Misgurnus anguillicaudatus (oriental weatherfish), 970 nucleotides. RefSeq lists it as uncharacterized. The record is from RefSeq and is a predicted model, not a curated record. Lineage: Eukaryota; Metazoa; Chordata; Actinopteri; Cypriniformes; Cobitidae.
AAGAUUUGAAUAAUGCAUCUGACGUGUGUGUGAUGACGUCACGACGCACGUAUUUUGAUUUUUACCAGUCGUUCAAGGCGGACGGAUUCAGUCCCAAGAAGCUAAAGUUUUUCAAAGACAUUUGUAGGGAGGACUUUGCAGCUAAUGAUUUCCUUAGGCUGAACCAAAACCUGCCAGACUAAAGUUGAUUUGGGAGAGAAAGACGUUGUAAACUCAAUCAUCUUGACAUUCUUCAAUGAGUAAUUGUUCAAUUUUUAGGCAAAUACUGUACACUUUGAAUGCUGUGAAUAAAACUAUAUUUUAAAUAUAUUUAAACUUAAUUGUUUUUGACUGUUUUAAUCAGCUUUUAUUUAUUUGGAAAAAAAUAUUUUGGUUAUGUUACCAGCUAAAGUAAUCUAUUCCCAAAAUAGCACUCUUUAAGUUAACUAAUUACUAACGCACUUGAAGUAUACUCACUAAUCUAGCUGCAGGUAUGUAAAAGUAUACAAAAUGUAAUGUACUUGGCAUAUUCAUUUUUCACCAGGGCAGUUUUUAUAAUUUUGGAUUGGCCAAAAAUAUAUAGAAUGUACGCAAACAGUCUAUUUAAGGUAUACUGAUUGUAUGUUUGCAAGACACUCAUAAUACAUUUGUAAUGUACUCCUAACAUAAAUAAAACACACUCUAAAUCCACUUAUCAAGCAUGAAUUUAGCACAAAAACAGUCAUGUACUUAAAUUGUACUAAAUACACUUAAAGUUGUUCCACUUUAGCACACAAAAGUACACUAAAUACACUUAAAGUUGUGCUUUGUUACAAUUAAUAUACAACUAAAAUAUAUUAAGUACAAAAUUAGUUGUUCCAAAAUAGCACUCUUUAAAUAAACUAAUCAAUAGCACACUUUAAGUAUACUGGUCAUUAGUGUGACUGCAAGUAUACUUAAGUAUAUCAAAAUUAAAUAUAUUUAGCAUACUAUUUUUUCACCAGGGUUGGCU